Molecule: small RNA, 73 nt
Filed under: Halpernia frigidisoli
Lineage: Bacteria; Pseudomonadati; Bacteroidota; Flavobacteriia; Flavobacteriales; Weeksellaceae
Description: Flavo-1 RNA
Rfam family: Flavo-1 RNA
Source: Rfam by way of RNAcentral
UUUUAGCCCCGAUUGAAGCGGCAUCCUUUUUCUUUAAAAAAAGAAAAAGAUACAGCGGAAAGCGGGACCUGAU